Molecule: long non-coding RNA, 813 nt
Organism: Polypterus senegalus (gray bichir)
Lineage: Eukaryota; Metazoa; Chordata; Cladistia; Polypteriformes; Polypteridae
Exons: 3
Source: RefSeq, a predicted model, not a curated record
UCACACAAUUACAUAGUUUACAUUUGGUUCCAUUUGUAAACAAAAAGUACCGUAAUUUAAUACUGUUAUGUCUCCUUCUAGAUAAAAACAGCUACAUCAGACACACAAUUGCAAGUAGCUAUCGGUAGAGCAUCCUGCAUUUUAUGCCUUUCCGGGUGUUUCAGAAAAAUCACCUUGGAAAAUAAAGGAGCUGUUACCAAAGAUGUGGCACAUUGGUAUGUGUUACAGAGAACAAGAACUCCAUUUGAAAGAUUUCAAGAAGGACUGCGGAGCCUUGGAGUUCUUUCAGCAUUGCAGCAGUUUCCACAGCAGCUUCAAUCCCUAUUUAUUAAAUUGGAGAAAAAAUUAACAGCUAUUGAGGUUGAACAGCUUUUCAAGUUUCGUAUGUCAGAGGAAGGAAGCAACAGAUAUGAAGCUGAAUUACUUGUAGUGGGAUUUUGGAGAGACUAUUUGCAAGAUGCAGAAUUUUGUGUUGAUGCAGUGACACUGGAAGAAAUACUAAUUUUUGCAACAGGAAGUGAUUCAGUUCCUCCUCUUGGUUUCUUUCCUGAGCCAUCUUUGGAGUUCUUGCACUGCGAAUCAAAAUUCCCUUUGGCGAAUACCUGCGACUGCAUACUUAGGAUUCCUCUAACCAAUAAUUAUACUAACUUUAAAAACAAUAUGAAUUUUGGCAUUAGAAAUUCCCCAGGGUUUGGAAAGGCUUAAAGAUGAUGAUGUAUAUUUCAAACAUUACACAUUAAGCAAUAAAAAAAAACUUUUGUGGUAUUUGUACAUAUUUCAACAUCAGAAUGUUUUAUUUGCGAAAAGAACAAA